CGGGGGUUUUUCGGGAUUUAAUGUGGGGGUAAAGCGCGUGUAGGCGGCCACGCAGGUCCGUUGUGAAAACUGGAGGCUUAACCUUCAGACGUCGACGGAAACCGUGUGGCUAGAGUCCGGAAGAGGAGAGUGGAAUUCCUGGUGUAGCGGUGAAAUGCGCAGAUAUCAGGAAGAACACCAAUGGCGAAGGCAGCUCUCUGGGACGGUACUGACGCUGAGACGCGAAAGCGUGGGGAGCGAACAGGAUUAGAUACCCUGGUAGUCCACGCCGUAAACGAUGGGUGCUAGGUGUGGGAGGUGUCGACUCCUCCCGUGCCGCAGCUAACGCAUUAAGCACCCCGCCUGGGGAGUACGGCCGCAAGGCUAAAACUCAAAGGAAUUGACGGGGCCCCGCACAAGCAGCGGAGCAUGUGGUUUAAUUCGAUGCAACGCGAAGAACCUUACCAGGGCUUGACAUGGUCGGGAAAACCGUAGAAAUACGGUCCUCCUUCGGGACUCGAUCACAGGUGGUGCAUGGCUGUCGUCAGCUCGUGUCGUGAGAUGUUGGGUUAAGUCCCGCAACGAGCGCAACCCCUGUCCCAUGUUGCCAGCGAGUUAUGUCGGGGACUCAUGGGAGACUGCCGGUGACAAAUCGGAGGAAGGUGGGGAUGAUGUCAAGUCAUCAUGCCCCUUAUGUCCUGGGCUACACACGUGCUACAUUGGCCGGUACAAAGGGCUGCAAACCUGCGAGGGUGAGCGAAUCCCAAAAAGCCGGUCCCGGUUCGGAUUGAAGGCUGAAACUCGCCUUCAUGAAGGCGGAGUUGCUAGUAAUCGCGGAUCAGCAACGUCGCGGUGAAUACGUUCUCGGGGCUUGUACACACCGCCUCGUCACACCACGAAAGUCGGCAAUACCCGAAGCCGGUGAGCUAACCCCUCGGGGAGGCAGCGUCGAAGGUAGGGUUGAUGAUUGGGGUGAAGUCGUAACAAGGUAACC
Molecule: ribosomal RNA, 973 nt
Filed under: uncultured bacterium
Lineage: Bacteria
Description: bacterial SSU rRNA
Rfam family: Bacterial small subunit ribosomal RNA
Source: RNAcentral